GACGAAGGGGGCUAGCGUUGUUCGGAAUUACUGGGCGUAAAGCGCGUGUAGGCGGUUGUUCAAGUCGGGUGUGAAAGCCUUGAGCUCAACUCAAGAAAUGCACUCGGUACUGGAUGACUAGAGGACCGGAGAGGAUAGUGGAAUUCCCAGUAUAGUGGUGAAAUACGUAGAGAUUGGGAAGAACACCAGUGGCGAAGGCGGCUAUCUGGACGGUUUCUGACGCUAAGACGCGAAAGCGUGGGGAGCAAACAGG
RNAcentral lists this ribosomal RNA (253 nucleotides) under uncultured bacterium. RNAcentral describes it as "partial 16S ribosomal RNA". It matches the Rfam family "Bacterial small subunit ribosomal RNA", at positions 524 to 776 of the family's 1533-position model. The record is from RNAcentral.